AGUAAGGGGACCCCUGGAUCUCAUUAAAGACUCAUGGAAAGGGUGCAAUGGGGUAAGGGAAGAACCAGUAACUGAGUAUGUUCAGAAGGGAGCUAAAGGACAUGAUGAAAGUUGUCCAAAACAACCUCCAAGACAUUCAGGCCAAACAAAAGGCGUGGUAUGAUACUUGUAAACACACUUUUGACAUAGGAGAUUUGGUGAUGGUACUCAGCCCUGCAAAAAAGUUCAAAAUGCAAAACUCCUGGGAGGGGCCCUUCAAGGAAGUAAAACUGGCAAAUGAGGACACGUAUCAAGUCAAAAAGCCCUGUCAUGAUACUGUUCCCCAGCUGGUACACAUGAACUGGCUCAAAGCCUAUCACAGUAGGGAGGCCGGAGCAAACAUGAUCUGUUGUGUGGAAGGGGAAACUGAGGCACCUCCACCCCCCACUGAUUUGAUGGCUGAAUGGCAAGAUGGCUCAACACUGGAAAUCAUUGAAAUCUGUAAAGAAUUAACACCAGUCGAAAGGGGGGAGCUGUUGUCAGCGCUGCAAGACACAGGGAGGUGUUUUCCAACAAUCCAGGGAGAACGCAUUUGCUGUCCCAUAAAAUCUUCACAAAAGGGAUACAAUCCCCCUCCCCCUUCCAGGCCUGACAGGGCCACUGGCAAGGUGAAAGAACAAAUUUGUACGAAGAUACAGAACAUGUUGGAACCAGGGAGUAAUUAAGGAAUCUGACAGCUCAUGAAUAUUCCCUGUGGUCUUGGUCCCCAAAAGGGAUGGCGCUGUAAGAUUUCGUGUGGACUAUAGAAAACUUAAUGCUGUUACUCAUUAAAGACUUAGAUGCAUAUCCCAAUCCAAGAAUUGAUGAUAUGCUGGAUGUGCUGAGCCAAGCCAAAUACCUCAGUACUUUGGAUUUAACUAGAGGGUACUGGCAGAUCCAUCUGGAGAAGGAGGCACAGCAGAAGUGAUUGUAUGUGUGUAUGCUAAAGAGGCUAGAGGGCCUGGCUCAGCAGGACAGACUGAGGGACCCCACGCUGGUGGAACAGGCAGGCUCAGUGGUACCCCAGUAUAUCAGGUGGCACCGCAGAAUAGGGGGCAACCCGUCACAUUCUUCAUUACUGGCAAUUUGUAAAUCAAGGCUGGAUGCUUUUCUAAAAGAUCUUCUCUAAUUCAAACAGGAAUCAAUUCAGGGAAAUCUUAUGGCCAAUGUUCUACAGGGGGUCAGACUAGAUGGUCAUAAAUGGUCCCCUCUGGCCUUGGAAUCUAUGAACCUAUAUUAUUCCCAAGCCGUUCCGGGUGGAGUUAGUUCAUUUGGCUGUCCUGCACAUCUCAUCACAAGGCUUCAUCCUGCUGACUGAGUUAGAGGAUGUAUGUCUGCUGCAGCUAAGGAGGGAGAAGAGUGCUUAUCACAUCAGUCCUCGGGGAGGUGCAGCCAGUAGCUCGUUCUGCUUUUACUUUAAAGCUUGUGUAGCUGCAUAUGCUAAUUGCUAUAGAAAACUAAUGGUUCAUAAGAUUUAUUUAGAAAGUCUCCUUUUUGAUGUUAGUUUCUCCUUUUCAGUAUGAAAUCGGGUCCCAAACAUGCUCCAUGAAAUGAUGGCUAUCUGAUUAAAAUAUGACCAUGUAGAUCAUUGUUGCAACCACUGUUUUAUAUAUUUGCAGCAAAUAUUGUACAAAGGUUGUCAAAUGAGGUGUCUACAAAAAGAUUAUGAUUUGCUGGUUAUGAUUAUGCUAUCUGUAUGCAUGUAUCAUUUUUGUAUGUGAAGUUAUAAGUAUUGGCUCUAUACUUGGAUUUCAGAUGUUAGCCCCUGGUGGAACGCCCACAAAGUAAUUAGCCAGCACAUCUUGGAGGGCCAAUUCUAAUUGAGUGGCCCAUUGAAAGAGCAGUUUAGCUGAUAAUGGACCAUGGGAGACGCCCAUCUACACUGAAUGGAAUGUCCUGCUGUGACUAGGCGAAAUGCAUGCUUGCCCGUGUGACUCUAAACUCCAUCUUGUUGCUGUAAUUUUCCACAAUAAGAACAGUGGGAUACCCUCCACAUGGAAAAAAGACGAUAAAAGGCAGCUGCAUCUUCUCCAUUUGGUCUUCAGUUUUGCUUCUUACCUCUGGAGGAACUUUGCUGCAAACUGAAGCUCUGAACAAUGGACUGAAUGACCCAUCCAAGCUGCGGAUGUACUCCAGAGACUUGACUUAAGCCAGCAGGUUAUUCCAUCACCGCUACAAGCGUGAACCAAAAACUUUGCCAUUGCUGUGCUCACAGCAAUAACCUUGAAGAAGGUCCCACUGUGACAUGCUGUUUUAUUGAAGAACAAUGUGAUUCAUCUCUCCUAGGCAAGGGGAACCAAAGCAGUGAACCAAAGCUACUGGAUCCCGGUUACUGGGAACACAGACAUGACAUUUCCCUCAAGGUUCUACAACUGAAUGUCAAGGCCCUGUUGGGCACAAAGCUCUCUGGUCCUGAAAACAUCACCUGACAUCACAAUUCUGAUGUCAUCUGCCUUCAGGUAAUCCAUGUUAAUUCCCUUAUUGCCAGGCGGUUCAUAAUCUCUGGUUUUGCAUGAAAAAUAUGGCUGAGACACUUAUGUAACUUAGCCGAUGUGGAGAGUCUACCAUCUACAUGUGACUACUGUGACAUCAUAAGGAUCAGUCAAUUUAAAGUGGUAAAUUUCUACAAGCCCUUGAAUCAACUACAAUCACUCCCGCAUCCUGCCAUCUAUGAUGGAAAAUUCAAUAGCCACCAUACCACCUGGGGCUAUAAAGAAUCAGAUCAAAGUGGGAUAGACCUUGCAAACUGGGCCUCUCUCAAGGAAUUACAUUGACCUGAAGCAACCAGCAACUCUUCACACUGCCCAUUAGAAACAGGGCUACCUUCCCUGACCUCAGUUGCGUCACUUCUGCUGGAGGCCACCCUCUACCAGCCAUCUGUAGAGUCCCUGGAAAUUUCCCCCAAAGUCAGCAACACCUCAUCCUCCUCCAAAUAGGGGUUACCAUGCCUAUCGUGACCUCUAGGCCAAGGCUACAUUGGAUCUACAGAAAAGCAGACUGGGACAAUUACACUAAGCCCAUUGACCAAUAUACUGUGUGUGUCCCAAGUAACAUCUCAAUAGA
Molecule: long non-coding RNA, 3081 nt
Organism: Chelonia mydas (Green sea turtle)
Lineage: Eukaryota; Metazoa; Chordata; Testudines; Cheloniidae
Exons: 3
Source: RefSeq, a predicted model, not a curated record